Molecule: non-coding RNA, 72 nt
Organism: Aspergillus tubingensis
Lineage: Eukaryota; Fungi; Ascomycota; Eurotiomycetes; Eurotiales; Aspergillaceae
Source: the annotation of a RefSeq genome assembly
GCGCCAAUCGUCUAGUGGUUAGGAUGCAACCUUCCCAAGGUUGCGACGCGAGUUCGAAUCUCGCUUGGCGCA